UACGGAGGGUGCAAGCGUUAUUCGGAAUUAUUGGGCGUAAAGAGCGCGUAGGCGGUCCUUUAAGUCAGAUGUGAAAGCCCAGGGCUCAACCCUGGAAGUGCAUUUGAAACUAAAGGACUUGAGUAUGGGAGAGGGAAGUGGAAUUCCUGGUGUAGCGGUGAAAUGCGUAGAUAUCAGGAGGAACACCGGUGGCGAAGGCGACUUCCUGGACCAAUACUGACGCUGAGGCGAGAAGGCGUGGGGAGCAAACAGG
RNAcentral lists this ribosomal RNA (253 nucleotides) under uncultured bacterium. RNAcentral's name for it is "partial 16S ribosomal RNA". It matches the Rfam family "Bacterial small subunit ribosomal RNA", at positions 524 to 776 of the family's 1533-position model. The record is from RNAcentral.